GGGCUGGCUUUAGCCCAGCGGUUCCUUCAAACCACCCGGCCGAUUGGUCCGGUGGUUCGAGACCCGCGGGCACUCUCCAGUCCUUUA
This is an unclassified non-coding RNA of Cavia aperea (Brazilian guinea pig), 87 nucleotides long. Its record names the gene Vault. It matches the Rfam family "Vault RNA". Rfam says of the family: This family of RNAs are found as part of the enigmatic vault ribonucleoprotein complex. The record is from Ensembl. NCBI's taxonomy places the organism in Eukaryota, Metazoa, Chordata, Mammalia, Rodentia, Caviidae.